RNAcentral lists this ribosomal RNA (1220 nucleotides) under Salmonella enterica. RNAcentral describes it as "partial 23S ribosomal RNA". It matches the Rfam family "Bacterial large subunit ribosomal RNA", at positions 1087 to 2290 of the family's 2925-position model. Lineage: Bacteria; Pseudomonadati; Pseudomonadota; Gammaproteobacteria; Enterobacterales; Enterobacteriaceae. RNAcentral also lists the same sequence under 1 other name. The record is from RNAcentral.
AGACAGCCAGGAUGUUGGCUUAGAAGCAGCCAUCAUUUAAAGAAAGCGUAAUAGCUCACUGGUCGAGUCGGCCUGCGCGGAAGAUGUAACGGGGCUAAACCAUGCACCGAAGCUGCGGCAGCGACACUGUGUGUUGUUGGGUAGGGGAGCGUUCUGUAAGCCUGUGAAGGUGUGUCGUGAGGCAUGCUGGAGGUAUCAGAAGUGCGAAUGCUGACAUAAGUAACGAUAAAGCGGGUGAAAAGCCCGCUCGCCGGAAGACCAAGGGUUCCUGUCCAACGUUAAUCGGGGCAGGGUGAGUCGACCCCUAAGGCGAGGCCGAAAGGCGUAGUCGAUGGGAAACGGGUUAAUAUUCCCGUACUUGGUGUUACUGCGAAGGGGGGACGGAGAAGGCUAUGUUGGCCGGGCGACGGUUGUCCCGGUUUAAGCGUGUAGGUGUGUGUUCCAGGUAAAUCCGGUUCACUUUAACACUGAGGCGUGACGACGAGGCACUACGGUGCUGAAGCAACAAAUGCCCUGCUUCCAGGAAAAGCCUCUAAGCAUCAGGUAACAUCAAAUCGUACCCCAAACCGACACAGGUGGUCAGGUAGAGAAUACCAAGGCGCUUGAGAGAACUCGGGUGAAGGAACUAGGCAAAAUGGUGCCGUAACUUCGGGAGAAGGCACGCUGACACGUAGGUGAAGUGAUUUACUCAUGGAGCUGAAGUCAGUCGAAGAUACCAGCUGGCUGCAACUGUUUAUUAAAAACACAGCACUGUGCAAACACGAAAGUGGACGUAUACGGUGUGACGCCUGCCCGGUGCCGGAAGGUUAAUUGAUGGGGUCAGCGCAAGCGAAGCUCCUGAUCGAAGCCCCGGUAAACGGCGGCCGUAACUAUAACGGUCCUAAGGUAGCGAAAUUCCUUGUCGGGUAAGUUCCGACCUGCACGAAUGGCGUAAUGAUGGCCAGGCUGUCUCCACCCGAGACUCAGUGAAAUUGAACUCGCUGUGAAGAUGCAGUGUACCCGCGGCAAGACGGAAAGACCCCGUGAACCUUUACUAUAGCUUGACACUGAACAUUGAGCCUUGAUGUGUAGGAUAGGUGGGAGGCUUUGAAGUGUGGACGCCAGUCUGCAUGGAGCCGACCUUGAAAUACCACCCUUUAAUGUUUGAUGUUCUAACGUGGACCCGUUACCCGGGUUGCGGACAGUGUCUGGUGGGUAGUUUGACUGGGGCGGUCUCCUCC